AGUGAACGCUGGCGGUAGGCCUAACACAUGCAAGUCGAACGGCAGCACAGUAAGAGCUUGCUCUUACGGGUGGCGAGUGGCGGACGGGUGAGGAAUACAUCGGAAUCUACUUUUUCGUGGGGGAUAACGUAGGGAAACUUACGCUAAUACCGCAUACGACCUACGGGUGAAAGCAGGGGAUCUUCGGACCUUGCGCGAUUGAAUGAGCCGAUGUCGGAUUAGCUAGUUGGCGGGGUAAAGGCCCACCAAGGCGACGAUCCGUAGCUGGUCUGAGAGGAUGAUCAGCCACACUGGAACUGAGACACGGUCCAGACUCCUACGGGAGGCAGCAGUGGGGAAUAUUGGACAAUGGGCGCAAGCCUGAUCCAGCCAUACCGCGUGAGUGAAGAAGGCCCUCGGAUUGUAAAGCCCUGUUGUUGGGAAAGAAAAGCAGCAGGUUAAUACCCCGCUGUUCUGACGGUACCCAAAGAAUAAGCACCGGCUAACUUCGUG
Molecule: ribosomal RNA, 492 nt
Filed under: uncultured bacterium
Lineage: Bacteria
Description: partial 16S ribosomal RNA
Rfam family: Bacterial small subunit ribosomal RNA
Source: RNAcentral